RNAcentral lists this ribosomal RNA (510 nucleotides) under uncultured bacterium. RNAcentral's name for it is "bacterial SSU rRNA". It matches the Rfam family "Bacterial small subunit ribosomal RNA", at positions 29 to 507 of the family's 1533-position model. The record is from RNAcentral.
AGCGAACGUUAGCGGCGUGCCUAAUCAUCAUGCAAGUUCGCAUCGAGAAUAGGGCUUCGGCCCCGGUAAAGUGGUCUGUCACGGGUGAUGUUAACACGUGGGCAUACCUGCCCAACCCUGGGGGAUAACCUGCCGAAAGGGGUGCUAAUACCGUAUACGAGGGUUUCACUUCGGUGGAGUUCUGAAAGCAGGCCUCUGUAUUCAAGCUUGCGGGGAUGGAUGGACCCGCGGUCCAUCAGCUAGUUGGUGAGGUAACGGCUCACCAAGGCGACGACGGGUAGCUGGUCUGAGAGGAUGAUCAGCCACACUGGAACUGAGACACGGUCCAGACUCCUACGGGAGGCAGCAGUGGGGAAUCUUGCGCAAUGGGCGAAAGCCUGACGCAGCAACGCCGCGUGGGUGACGAAGGCCUUCGGGUUGUAAAGCCCUGUGGGGAGGAACGAACCGUCCGCGGGCCAAUACCCCCCACACCUGACGGUACCUCUUUAGCAAGCAUCGGCUAACUCUGUG